Molecule: small nuclear RNA, 106 nt
Organism: Lycium barbarum (goji berry)
Lineage: Eukaryota; Viridiplantae; Streptophyta; Magnoliopsida; Solanales; Solanaceae
Source: RefSeq, a predicted model, not a curated record
GUUCACUUCAUGAAGUGGACAUCUGUGAAAAUUGGAACUAUAUAGAGAAGGUAAGCUCUUUCUUUGCAAAGAUGACACAAGCUAAUAAGAAAUGGUUCAAAAAUUU